This is a long non-coding RNA of Musa acuminata AAA Group (dessert banana), 969 nucleotides long. RefSeq lists it as uncharacterized. NCBI's taxonomy places the organism in Eukaryota, Viridiplantae, Streptophyta, Magnoliopsida, Zingiberales, Musaceae. The transcript has 3 exons. The record is from RefSeq and is a predicted model, not a curated record.
GUCGGCGCGGAAUUUCCAGCUGGAGGACGCGUCUGACGUCGGCGAAAGCCAGCCCUCCUCCUCCUCCAUCGGUCCCGAUCGGGUGGCGGCGCGUCGGCUGUGGCGGAGAUCGGGGUUCACGUAGCGCUCAGGUCUGCAAAGUUCAAAACAAGCUUCUCUGACCUUACUUACAAUCUACCCCAUGGGACCAACGAGAAGCUGAACGAUGCUUGGCUCGUAUACUAUGACUCUAUGUUGUGAUAUCGUAUCUUUAUGACAGCAUUAAGAUAGUCUGACACUGUAUAUUGUUAUGAGCAGCAUGCUUGCUUGCAUCACCUUCACCAAUGCUUGAGUGGCCCCUUGCUCUCUGGCCAUUGCUUUUAGCGGGGAUACUUGCUGCCAUCUUGCUCGAAAGCAACCUUAGGAGCAGUUUGGAAACCCUGCAUAGCAUUUGUCGGGGGCUUGUUGGCCUAAUUCAAGUCUGUAGUUAAUUCUGAUAUUGACAAGGCCAGUCGUAUGGAUCAGUUGAAGCCCCAGUUUGGACCGCCAAUCUACAUUUUUCUCUUUUGCCAAAGGCAAAAGACCUGUUGUCUGCAGAGCUGUAUGCUAUGGGAUGCAGUUGAUGUUGAGUUUUCUCUAAAUCUUAUGCUAUGCUAUCUAGCUAAGUUCGAAAACCUUUGAAGCCAAAACUAAGAAUCAUGCAAGCUUCCAUGUUUUGUGCGACAAUAUCUGCUGCUGUUCACCUGCUUGGAUCGUGAAAGUAUGUGCCUCAUGAGCAGCAGAAGCAAGCUCCCAUGUUUUGUUUUGAUUCUCUGCGGUGCGUACUCAGUAGUACAGUAAGGUUGACUGUAGCACAUCGGUCGAUCGAUGCGAGAGACUAUGGAGGAUAGAUUCAGAGCCACCUCAGAAAAUUAUUGAACUUGUGAAGUAGAAAGUUGGGUUUUCAUUUAUCGGAUUUAGUGCUAUUUUCGAAGUAAAUUUAUUAUCAUA